UGCUGUAGAUCUUAAGGCAUUAUGUAUUUGAUGUUUAUGGGGUUUUUUGUAGGAGCAAAGACGACGGAGGUUGAGGAUCUAUUGGUGGUGAGAGACGCACAACGGAACACCGCAAAUGUCUACGGUAAGUGUUUUGAAUUCUUUUGUUUUAUUUGUGUUUUUGUAGAGAAGAAAAAAACAAAUCUCUGUUUACUUUCAGAGCCGCCAAUGGUGGCGGAAUUUCAACCGAGCUGGUGAAGGAUGCAGUGGCAUCACGACAAAGACGAUUGGGGAACCAACGGGUAAACAUUUUGGUGGAGAAGAUCUAUGACGAUCUGGAUAUAAUUUGUCCAAAUUCGAAAAUUAAAAUUUGUUGUUUUUUUUUAAUUUUGGGUUUUAAUCGGUUAAGAUAUAUAAUAUUUGUAAGUUCCAGAGGUAAAAAAGCAAAAAUAAUGAAGAUUGCAUGAUAAAAAUCAAUGGUGGUUUUGAGAUAUAUUUGCAGGAAACUCAAAAAACCCUAAUAGAAAGAUGAUGAAAUUAUUACAAAAUUGCCACUAAUUAAAAAAAAUUACAGAAAAAAUUAGAAGACGUUGAUGUGUACAUAAUGUUAGUGUACACGAUUACAUUGGAUGACAACAUGGAUGUCUAUGCAUCAGUGUACACAUGGACACUAUUAUAGAAGUGAAUCAUUGUACAUGAUAGUAAAUUUUGUGUCUUCACGUGAACAUAAUAUGGUUGUACACAUUUUGAAACUUGCAAAUUUAUCCAAUUUAGUUUGGUUGAUGCGGAGACGAGAGGAUUAUAGACUAGUAAAAGUAUAAAUCGCAUUUAAAAUUUCCAUAUAUACAAUGUUGUAAUGAUAUAUAUGUGUACAUCGUUUUA
RNAcentral lists this long non-coding RNA (861 nucleotides) under Brassica napus (rape). RNAcentral describes it as "long non-coding RNA (BNAP_LNC025191)". Lineage: Eukaryota; Viridiplantae; Streptophyta; Magnoliopsida; Brassicales; Brassicaceae. The record is from RNAcentral.